This 70-nucleotide transfer RNA is filed under the name Rasbora cephalotaenia. Its description in RNAcentral is "tRNA-Tyr". It matches the Rfam family "tRNA". Rfam says of the family: Transfer RNA (tRNA) molecules are approximately 80 nucleotides in length. Their secondary structure includes four short double-helical elements and three loops (D, anti-codon, and T loops). The record is from RNAcentral. Lineage: Eukaryota; Metazoa; Chordata; Actinopteri; Cypriniformes; Danionidae.
GGUAGGGUGGCCGAGCGCAAGGCGGCGGUUUGUAGCACCGUGUACAGAGGUUUAAGUCCUCUCUCUAUCA